RNAcentral lists this ribosomal RNA (504 nucleotides) under uncultured bacterium. RNAcentral's name for it is "partial 16S ribosomal RNA". It matches the Rfam family "Bacterial small subunit ribosomal RNA", at positions 29 to 523 of the family's 1533-position model. The record is from RNAcentral.
AUUGAACGCUGGCGGCAGGCCUAACACAUGCAAGUCGAACGGUAGCACAGAGAGCUUGCUCUCGGGUGACGAGUGGCGGACGGGUGAGUAAUGUCUGGGAAACUGCCCGAUGGAGGGGGAUAACUACUGGAAACGGUAGCUAAUACCGCAUAACGUCGCAAGACCAAAGUGGGGGACCUUCGGGCCUCACACCAUCGGAUGUGCCCAGAUGGGAUUAGCUAGUAGGUGGGGUAAUGGCUCACCUAGGCGACGAUCCCUAGCUGGUCUGAGAGGAUGGCCAGCCACACGGGAACCGAGACACGGUCCAGACUCCUACGGGAGGCAGCAGUGGGGAAUAUUGCACAAUGGGCGCAAGCCUGAUGCAGCCAUGCCGCGUGUAUGAAGAAGGCCUUCGGGUUGUAAAGUACUUUCAGCGGGGAGGAAGGCGGUGAAGUUAAUAACUUCACCGAUUGACGUUACCCGCAGAAGAAGCACCGGCUAACUCCGUGCCAGCAGCCGCCGUAA